AUACGUAGGGAGCAAGCGUUAUCCGGAUUUACUGGGUGUAAAGGGCGCGUAGGCGGGACUGCAAGUCUAGGUGUGAAAUCUGGUGGCUCAACCACCAAACUGCACUUGAAACUGUGGUUCUUGAGUGAUGGAGAGGCAAGUGGAAUUCCUAGUGUAGCGGUGAAAUGCGUAGAUAUUAGGAGGAACACCAGUGGCGAAGGCGGCUCUCUGGUCUGCAACUGACGCUGAGGCUCGAAAGCAUGGGUAGC
This 248-nucleotide ribosomal RNA is filed under the name uncultured bacterium. Its description in RNAcentral is "partial 16S ribosomal RNA". It matches the Rfam family "Bacterial small subunit ribosomal RNA", at positions 523 to 769 of the family's 1533-position model. The record is from RNAcentral.